UGCAGAUAUUACUCGACUACACAAUGGCAUGCUUAUUAAACAGCUGAAUACUAUGAAUUUGAUUCUAGUUUCGGAAGGUUCGUUCCCCGUGCAAUUUGAUCUCAACUAUGGGAGGAAGCCCAGCCAAUGUGCACACAUCUAACUCUAAUGAUGGGAACAAACUUUGGGAGAAUCAAUUUGAACCUUUUGCCGACAAGUUUGAAGUACAAUGGUGGAGGUCGACUAUUGGGCAAAUUAACUCGAACCUUUGUGGACAAGUUUGAAGUAGAAUGGUGGAGGUCAGCAAUUUGGCACAUUAACGUGAACCUUUGUGGGCAUGUAUUGUUACAAAGCAAGACCCAAAAGAAUGACCUUAAAACUUCAGAACACAGACAACACAAAGGCAUUAAGUUCUCAUUGAUUUUAGCUCAGAACAAAGCAUUGUACCCUUCUAUACAAUGUGAGGGUUCAUAGAAUUACAACCCAGAAACAAGAAAACAGAGGCAGCUACUUAGUGGACCCAGAUCUCUCCAAGAACCCAAAUGAUAUCCUUCCAAAUCAAGAACUAAGAAUCAAAAAGACUCAACACACUCAGAUUCACUAGAAAGACUAGUAGUUUGCGGUUAGAUUGCAAAAGUCACGAAGAAGAAGAAAGGAUAGAGACACAAAUUCGAGAGAGAGAGAGAGAAAGACCCAGAAACGUCCAAACACAAACCACAUGAAGAGUCAAG
Molecule: long non-coding RNA, 710 nt
Filed under: Olea europaea subsp. europaea
Lineage: Eukaryota; Viridiplantae; Streptophyta; Magnoliopsida; Lamiales; Oleaceae
Source: RNAcentral